AGAGAGAGAGAGUUAAUUGGCCGUACCCUUCGCUUCACUGCAGCUGUCUUUCUUUUUCUUUCCUACGCCAGCCAACCCAACCUUCUUUUUUGUUACCAGUCUUUCUUCCAUUUCAUUUUAUAAUUAUCUUCUACAAUUUUCUUUUUUAAAUUAAAAAAAAAAAAAUUGUUGGGAUUUUCUUUCCUCCCUCCUCUCACUGCAAAUUUUCUUCUGUCUAAAUUACUAUUUGCUGCUGAAGGCUGAAGCAUUCAACUUUCUAGGAAAACUCCCUUUUUUCUCUAUGUAUUUUUAUUUAUUUUUUAAUAUAUAAAGAAAUCUGUUUCAAGUAUCCUAUGCAAGAACUUAGAAAAGAAGACAAAGACAAUGCUCAUUACUUACAUAGUUGUAUUACAUUCAUGAGUUAAAGUCUCUGUUCUCCAAGGUCAAGUUGCUGCAUUUAUGUCACCUUCUUUGAUUUCUUAAUUCUAUAUUUCUUAUUGAGUUGCUGCUUCUGCAAUGCAGGUUUAUUUUCAAUGUUUUAUCAACUCACAUAGAGAUUCUAAAUGACAUCUUGUCCAACCAUAUGAUUUCUUAAUACAUUUAGAUUCAAAGAAGUUAACUUUGAUCCUUGCACUGUUGGACCCGACUUGAAGAAGAGCAAUGCCUAAGCGUCUACAUAUUAUCUAUCACUGCCAAGUUUUCCUUCUCCACAGCUUGCUUAGAAUAUUUUAGCAUUCAGUUAAAUAGGGAAUUAGGGGCCAAUAACAUUGGAGUUCCAAGCUUUCCUUCAUGUUCAAUUGGCAUAUGAUUCACCAAUAAAAUGUGAAAUUGGCAUUCCGGAUAUUCUUUGAAAAUGGAAAUCAAGGAAGCAGAAAGGGUAGUUAUAGCCAAACCAGUAGCUUCCAGGCCUACUUGCUCCAAUUUUAGGACUUUCUCAGAACUCCUUGCAGGUGCCAUUAGUGUUUCACCCCCUAAUGUAUGUUCAGAAACCACAGUUGCUGCUAUUAGACCAAAGACAGUGAGGUUCAAGCCAAUGGUGAAUCGGGCUCCAGCUGGAUCGAUUUCUUCCCAGGCUGAUCUCUCUGGAACUGGACUUUGCAAUUCAUAUGAUAAAGUUUCAAAAUCAGACAGUAAACCUACUGUGAUAUAUAAACCGCAGGCCAAACUUGUUUCAAAGACAACCGUUUCUCUUUUGGCGAAUAUGAAUAUCACUGCUCUACUUUUGAGACGCUAAAAAUGCAAGAAUAAAAAGUUUUCUUCUGACCAGGGAAAUUUUGUUGCUGGUCAUCAACAACAAACGCUGCCAUUGGUUGAGGCUCGAGUUCAACAUCCAAACCAAGAAAACCACAAUUUUACAACCCAGAUUACAUCAAAUUUUCACCAUAAUAUUCCAUAUCAUGCACAAACAGAUCAGUCAACUGAACCCUCAAGGUUAACAUCUCAGAACCAAGAGGAGGAUCUGAAAACCUUAUCUGCUGCGUCUAAUAGGGAUCGACCUUCAUAUGAUGGUUAUAAUUGGAGAAAAUAUGGGCAAAAGCAAGUAAAGGGAAGUGAGUAUCCGCGAAGUUAC
RNAcentral lists this unclassified non-coding RNA (1549 nucleotides) under Hevea brasiliensis (rubber tree). The record is from RNAcentral. Lineage: Eukaryota; Viridiplantae; Streptophyta; Magnoliopsida; Malpighiales; Euphorbiaceae.